GGUGGCUCAGGGGUAGAGUGCUUGCCUUGCAUGCAUGAGGCCCUGGGUUUGAUUCUCAGCACCA
RNAcentral lists this transfer RNA (64 nucleotides) under Dipodomys ordii (Ord's kangaroo rat). It matches the Rfam family "tRNA". From Rfam's summary of the family: Transfer RNA (tRNA) molecules are approximately 80 nucleotides in length. Their secondary structure includes four short double-helical elements and three loops (D, anti-codon, and T loops). Further hydrogen bonds mediate the characteristic L-shaped molecular structure. tRNAs have two regions of fundamental functional importance: the anti-codon, which is responsible for specific mRNA codon recognition, and the 3' end, to which the tRNAs corresponding amino acid is attached (by aminoacyl-tRNA synthetases). tRNAs cope with the degeneracy of the genetic code in two manners: having more than one tRNA (with a specific anti-codon) for a particular amino acid; and 'wobble' base-pairing, i.e. permitting non-standard base-pairing at the 3rd anti-codon position. The record is from Rfam by way of RNAcentral. Lineage: Eukaryota; Metazoa; Chordata; Mammalia; Rodentia; Heteromyidae.